This 296-nucleotide long non-coding RNA is filed under the name Nicotiana benthamiana. RNAcentral's name for it is "long non-coding RNA (NBEN_LNC040697)". The record is from RNAcentral. Lineage: Eukaryota; Viridiplantae; Streptophyta; Magnoliopsida; Solanales; Solanaceae.
UUGGAUCUCUAAUUACAGCAGCCUACUUACCACAUUUCACUUCCCAAUUUCUCUCAUCAAGCAAACCCAAAACUAUACUGUCCAAGCAAUAAGAUUGGUAGAGAUUAGAGAUUACCUUGUCAACAAAAAUCUUCAGAGAUAACAAGCUCAAACUGACCAUUUCCUUUCUUGACUUUCACUGGCAGAUGAAACUGCAGCAUCCGGUUCGGAGAUUCCAACUUGGGUUUUUGCUGGCUUCUUCUACACUUACUAUGCACUGAAUCGAGGGGUGCCUAGGUGAGAUGAAAGAGAAACCG